RNAcentral lists this ribosomal RNA (448 nucleotides) under uncultured bacterium. RNAcentral's name for it is "bacterial SSU rRNA". It matches the Rfam family "Bacterial small subunit ribosomal RNA", at positions 64 to 507 of the family's 1533-position model. The record is from RNAcentral.
GAGCGGAUGACAGAAGCUUGCUCCUCUAUACAGCGGCGGACGGGUGAGUAAUGCCUAGGAAUCUGCCUGGUAGUGGGGGAUAACGUUCCGAAACGAACGCUAAUACCGCAUACGUCCUACGGGAGAAAGCAGGGGACCUUCGGGCCUUGCGCUAUCAGAUGAGCCUAGGUCGGAUUAGCUAGUUGGUGGGGUAAUGGCUCACCAAGGCGACGAUCCGUAACUGGUCUGAGAGGAUGAUCAGUCACACUGGAACUGAGACACGGUCCAGACUCCUACGGGAGGCAGCAGUGGGGAAUAUUGGACAAUGGGCGAAAGCCUGAUCCAGCCAUGCCGCGUGUGUGAAGAAGGUCUUCGGAUUGUAAAGCACUUUAACUUGGGAGGAAGGGUAGUAAACUAAUACCCUGCUGUUUUGACGUUACCGACAGAAUAAGCACCGGCUAACUCUGUG